UUAAUUGAAGAGUUUGAUCAUGGCUCAGAUUGAACGCUGGCGGCAGGCCUAACACAUGCAAGUCGAGCGGCAGCGACUUAACUGAACCUUCGGGGGACGUUAAGGGCGGCGAGCGGCGGACGGGUGAGUAAUGCCUGGGAAUAUGCCCUGAUGUGGGGGAUAACUAUUGGAAACGAUAGCUAAUACCGCAUAAUCUCUUCGGAGCAAAGAGGGGGACCUUCGG
RNAcentral lists this ribosomal RNA (223 nucleotides) under Photobacterium damselae. Its description in RNAcentral is "partial 16S ribosomal RNA". It matches the Rfam family "Bacterial small subunit ribosomal RNA", at positions 1 to 219 of the family's 1533-position model. The record is from RNAcentral. Lineage: Bacteria; Pseudomonadati; Pseudomonadota; Gammaproteobacteria; Vibrionales; Vibrionaceae.